AUCUACGAUCACGCCACCCUGAACAAGCCCGAUCCCGUCUGAUCUCGGAAGCCAAGCAGGGUCGGGCCCGGUUAGUACUUGGAUGGGAGACCACCUGGGAAGACCAGGCGCUGUAGGCG
Molecule: ribosomal RNA, 119 nt
Filed under: Pteropus alecto (black flying fox)
Lineage: Eukaryota; Metazoa; Chordata; Mammalia; Chiroptera; Pteropodidae
Source: RNAcentral